This 127-nucleotide non-coding RNA is filed under the name Numida meleagris (helmeted guineafowl). Lineage: Eukaryota; Metazoa; Chordata; Aves; Galliformes; Numididae. The record is from RNAcentral.
GUGUUGUGUGAAAGGAGAGAAGGGUAGUGCUCCCCUUGAUAAGGAUGGAAAGAGGCCUCAGUGCCCUGCGCAACACACGCAUGGUUAAGGCAGUGCUACCCUACUUCAUGGCAUCUAACCAUGUUUU